CUCUAGAGUCUUUCAAUGGCUCCCCAACUGGCAGUUUAAAUUCGUCUCUAGAUGACCUUUCAAAUGCCAGCUCUGAAGAUUCUUUGCAACUGCAAGUAUCUAUUAGUGACACAGGAGUAUGUAAUGACCAUGGCAAGACAUAUGCUCUGUAUGCAAUCACUGUUCAGAGAAGAAAUCCAGAUGGUAGUGAUGAUGUGUGGAAGACCUAUCGUCGCUAUAGUGAUUUCCAUGACUUUCACAUGCGGAUAACUGAGCAGUUUGAACACCUUUCAAAUUUGCUCAAACUUCCUGGGAAAAAAACCUUUAAUAACAUGGAUAAAGACUUCUUGGGAAAGCGGAAAAAAGAUCUAAAUACAUAUUUACAA
Molecule: long non-coding RNA, 365 nt
Organism: Rhincodon typus (whale shark)
Lineage: Eukaryota; Metazoa; Chordata; Chondrichthyes; Orectolobiformes; Rhincodontidae
Exons: 4
Source: RefSeq, a predicted model, not a curated record